This 457-nucleotide ribosomal RNA is filed under the name uncultured bacterium. Its description in RNAcentral is "partial 16S ribosomal RNA". It matches the Rfam family "Bacterial small subunit ribosomal RNA", at positions 338 to 795 of the family's 1533-position model. The record is from RNAcentral.
CCUACGGGUGGCAGCAGUGGGGAAUAUUGCACAAUGGGGGAAACCCUGAUGCAGCGACGCCGCGUGAGUGAAGAAGCGUUUCGGCGCGUAAAGCUCUGUCAGCGGGGAAGAAACACGGUUCGCGAGAGCCGCGGACGGUACCCGACCAAGAAGCCCCGGCUAACUACGUGCCAGCAGCCGCGGUAAUACGUAGGGGGCAAGCGUUAUCCGGAUUCACUGGGUGUAAAGGGAGCGUAGGCGGGCGUUCAAGUCAGCUGUAAAAUCGCGCGGCUCAACCGCGCCCCGCAGUUGAAACUGGACGCUUUGAGUUCACAACAGGCAGGCGGAAUUCGUGGUGUAGCGGUGAAAUGCAUAGAUAUCACGAGGAACCCCGAUUGCGAAGGCAGCCUGCCGGGGUGCGACUGACGCUGAGGCUCGAAGGUGCGGGUAUCAAACAGGAUUAGAUACCCCAGUAGUC